AGUAAACAGGUGAUGCGGUAUCCUAGUCAGCAAUGAUCUGUUUGAAAACGGGCCUAAAAAUCCGUUAAGGGCAUAUCGAUGAAGUUUCUGGUGUUGGCUUCUUACGCCCAGUUUGGGGCUGAUGCUGGAAGUUAAGGUUGAUGGGGAAUCCUCAACGGCAUGAGGGCUGACCCAGCUUCCGUGGAGACCCUUGACUGUGGGGAGCUCUUUUUGGUCAAAGAGGGAACUACGGCUUGGGAAGAACCUGUAUUCGGGUGAACUGGGUACAGUGUAGCCUGGCUUGAGUGGUUAAGGUGGAGAAGCAAAACCACCCCGCUGCGGAAAGGCCAAUUUCCCGUCGGUGGUGUCGAAACCGGUACUGCAAAAGAGCCUAAAACAGAUCGGCGCUGCCGAGGAAAACUCCUAGGCCGUUUAUUUGAUAAGGUUUUGCGGGGAUUAAAGUGCGGACUAAGUGGCAAUCCGGUACCGCAUGGGUCUCUGAGUAAAGGGAAACCGCCUUUUCGGCGACGAAAGGGUUCGGGGAUGGGAAAGCCUUCCGGACCAAAGCCGCAGCGUUUACCCGCGAAGCUGUCACCUGUUUUGUU
Molecule: small RNA, 584 nt
Filed under: bovine gut metagenome
Source: RNAcentral